Lagenorhynchus albirostris (white-beaked dolphin) is the source of this 430-nucleotide long non-coding RNA. RefSeq lists it as uncharacterized. The transcript is spliced from 3 exons. Lineage: Eukaryota; Metazoa; Chordata; Mammalia; Artiodactyla; Delphinidae. The record is from RefSeq and is a predicted model, not a curated record.
GGAGUGCCUACAGCAAAGGUAAGAGUGGUAACCAUGGAGAAGCACUGCUCAGAUGCUCAUUCUAGGAAGGAGCUGAUACCCAGGUGAAGAGGGGCUUCAGCAGACAGACUCCAGCUGUCGGUGCCUUCAGGGUCUGCUCAGGUGUGGAGAACUGCCUUGCCCGAUAUCACAGCCUUCUCAGGAUAUGAAUAGCUAUUGCAUCUCUAUGGUGGAAAUAAAUAUUAUAAAAUAGCUGUGCAACUGCCAUCUUUUCCCAGCUUUCCAUUCAGUGGGGUCAUUUUAUAGCUUGUUAUCUGCCAGAUGGGAGUAUUUACACCGUGAAAAUCGGCAAAUACUACAAAUCAAGGAGUCUAACCAGGACCAGAAGGUAGACACCACAAAAAACCAAGCACUAUGAAGAAUCAGAGAGGUAGUGAGGUCCCCAUCACUA